RNAcentral lists this ribosomal RNA (506 nucleotides) under uncultured bacterium. RNAcentral describes it as "partial 16S ribosomal RNA". It matches the Rfam family "Bacterial small subunit ribosomal RNA", at positions 29 to 523 of the family's 1533-position model. The record is from RNAcentral.
AUUGAACGCUGGCGGCAGGCCUAACACAUGCAAGUCGAACGGCAGCACAGAAGAGCUUGCUCUUUGGGUGGCGAGUGGCGGACGGGUGAGUAAUGUCUGGGAAACUGCCCGAUGGAGGGGGAUAACUACUGGAAACGGUAGCUAAUACCGCAUAACGUCGCGAGACCAAAGUGGGGGACCUUCGGGCCUCACACCAUCGGAUGUGCCCAGAUGGGAUUAGCUAGUAGGUGGGGUAAUGGCUCACCUAGGCGACGAUCCCUAGCUGGUCUGGGAGGAUGACCAGCCACACUGGAACUGAGACACGGUCCAGACGCCUACGGGAGGCAGCAGUGGGGAAUAUUGCACAAUGGGCGCAAGCCUGAUGCAGCCAUGCCGCGUGUAUGAAGAAGGCCUUCGGGUUGUAAAGUACUUUCAGCGGGGAGGAAGGCGGUGAGGUUAAUAACCUCGCCGAUUGACGUUACCCGCAGAAGAAGCACCGGCUAACUCCGUGCCAGCCGCCGCGGUAA